ACGGGUGCGUAACGCGUGGGAAUCUGCCCUUGGGUUCGGAAUAACAUCGGGAAACUGAUGCUAAUACCGGAUGAUGACGAAAGUCCAAAGAUUUAUCGCCCAGGGAUGAGCCCGCGUAGGAUUAGCUAGUUGGUGAGGUAAAGGCUCACCAAGGCGACGAUCCUUAGCUGGUCUGAGAGGAUGAUCAGCCACACUGGGACUGAGACACGGCCCAAACUCCUACGGGAGGCAGCAGUAGGGAAUAUUGGACAAUGGGGGCAACCCUGAUCCAGCAAUGCCGCGUGAGUGAUGAAGGCCUUAGGGUUGUAAAGCUCUUUUACCCGGGAUGAUAAUGACAGUACCGGGAGAAUAAGCCCCGGCUAACUCCGUGCCAGCAGCCGCGGUAAUACGGAGGGGGCUAGCGUUGUUCGGAAUUACUGGGCGUAAAGCGCACGUAAGCGGCGAUUUAAGUCAGAGGUGAAAGCCCGGGGCUCAACCCCGGAAUAGCCUUUGAGACUGGAUUGCUUGAAUCUUGGAGAGGCGGGUGGAAUUCCGAGUGUAUAGGUGAAAUUCGUAGA
Molecule: ribosomal RNA, 557 nt
Filed under: Sphingobium sp. StTD687
Lineage: Bacteria; Pseudomonadati; Pseudomonadota; Alphaproteobacteria; Sphingomonadales; Sphingobiaceae
Description: bacterial SSU rRNA
Rfam family: Bacterial small subunit ribosomal RNA
Source: RNAcentral